RNAcentral lists this ribosomal RNA (779 nucleotides) under uncultured bacterium. Its description in RNAcentral is "bacterial SSU rRNA". It matches the Rfam family "Bacterial small subunit ribosomal RNA", at positions 8 to 796 of the family's 1533-position model. The record is from RNAcentral.
AGAGUUUGAUCCUGGCUCAGGACGAACGCUGGCGGCGUGCUUCAUACAUGCAAGUCGAGCGGGGUCCAUCCAGUGGCAACACUGGUGAAGACCUAGCGGCGAACGGGUGAGUAACACGUGAGGAACCUGCCCCAGAGACCGGGAUAACUCUCCGAAAGGAGAGCUAAUACCGGAUACCCCCACCGGAUCGCAUGGUCUGGUGAGGAAAUGGAUUCCGCUCUGGGAGGGCCUCGCGGCCUAUCAGCUUGUUGGUGAGGUAACGGCUCACCAAGGCGUCGACGGGUAGCUGGUCUGAGAGGACGGUCAGCCACACUGGGACUGAGACACGGCCCAGACUCCUACGGGAGGCAGCAGUAGGGAAUCUUGCGCAAUGGGCGAAAGCCUGACGCAGCAACGCCGCGUGGGGGAUGAAGGCUCUCGGGUUGUAAACCCCUUUCAGCAGGGACGAUUAUGACGGUACCUGCAGAAGAAGGACCGGCCAACUACGUGCCAGCAGCCGCGGUAAUACGUAGGGUCCGAGCGUUGUCCGGAUUUAUUGGGCGUAAAGAGCUCGUAGGCGGCUCGGUAAGUCGGAUGUGAAAACUCGGGGCUCAACCCCGAGACGCCAUCCGAUACUGCCGUGGCUUGAGUCUGGUAGGGGAACACGGAAUUCCUGGUGUAGCGGUGAAAUGCGCAGAUAUCAGGAGGAACACCAAUGGCGAAGGCAGUGUUCUGGGCCAGUACUGACGCUGAGGAGCGAAAGCGUGGGUAGCAAACAGGAUUAGAUACCCUAGUAGUCC